GGGGAGUGGCAGACGGGUGAGUAACGCGUGGGAAUCUACCGUGCCCUGCGGAAUAGCUCCGGUUAAACUGGUAAUUAAUACCGCAUACGCCCUACGGGGGAAAGAUUUAUCGGGGUCUGAUGAGCCCGCGUUGGAUUAGCUAGUUGGUGGGGUAAAGGCCUACCAAGGCGACCAUCCAUAGCUGGUCUGAGAGGGGUUCAGCCAUAUUGGGACUGAGACACGGCCCAAACUUAUACGGGAGGCAGCAGUGGGGAAUAUUGGACAAUGGGCGCAAGCCUGAUCCAGCCAUGCCGCGUGAGUGAUGAAGGCCUUAGGGUUGUAAAGCUCUUUCACCGGAGAAGAUAAUGACGGUAUCCGGAGAAGAAGCCCCGGCUAACUUCGUGCC
RNAcentral lists this ribosomal RNA (385 nucleotides) under Rhizobiaceae bacterium. RNAcentral's name for it is "bacterial SSU rRNA". It matches the Rfam family "Bacterial small subunit ribosomal RNA", at positions 90 to 509 of the family's 1533-position model. Lineage: Bacteria; Pseudomonadati; Pseudomonadota; Alphaproteobacteria; Hyphomicrobiales; Rhizobiaceae. The record is from RNAcentral.